Small nucleolar RNA from Erigeron canadensis, 107 nucleotides. The record is from RefSeq and is a predicted model, not a curated record. NCBI's taxonomy places the organism in Eukaryota, Viridiplantae, Streptophyta, Magnoliopsida, Asterales, Asteraceae.
AAAUUGUGGUCUGGACAAUUUCUCAACAUUUCCUUGAAACGCACCCAAGCAUCCACCACAUCUUCCCCAUCAUCUUGUUCAAAAGACCUUAUCAUAUUUUCCAACCU